GGGGCCAUAGCUCAGUUGGUAGAGCACCUGCAUGGCAUGCAGGGGGUCAGCGGUUCGAGUCCGCUUGGCUCCA
This 73-nucleotide transfer RNA is filed under the name Prochlorococcus marinus str. MIT 9202. RNAcentral's name for it is "tRNA-Ala". It matches the Rfam family "tRNA". Rfam says of the family: Transfer RNA (tRNA) molecules are approximately 80 nucleotides in length. Their secondary structure includes four short double-helical elements and three loops (D, anti-codon, and T loops). Further hydrogen bonds mediate the characteristic L-shaped molecular structure. tRNAs have two regions of fundamental functional importance: the anti-codon, which is responsible for specific mRNA codon recognition, and the 3' end, to which the tRNAs corresponding amino acid is attached (by aminoacyl-tRNA synthetases). tRNAs cope with the degeneracy of the genetic code in two manners: having more than one tRNA (with a specific anti-codon) for a particular amino acid; and 'wobble' base-pairing, i.e. permitting non-standard base-pairing at the 3rd anti-codon position. Lineage: Bacteria; Bacillati; Cyanobacteriota; Cyanophyceae; Synechococcales; Prochlorococcaceae. RNAcentral also lists the same sequence under 12 other names. The record is from RNAcentral.